Molecule: transfer RNA, 72 nt
Filed under: Dendronephthya gigantea
Lineage: Eukaryota; Metazoa; Cnidaria; Anthozoa; Malacalcyonacea; Nephtheidae
Description: tRNA-His
Rfam family: tRNA
About the family: Transfer RNA (tRNA) molecules are approximately 80 nucleotides in length.
Source: RNAcentral
GGUUCUGUGGUGUAAUGGUUAGCACUUUGGACUGUGAAUUCAAGGAUCCGGGUUCAAAUCUCGGCAGGACCU